Molecule: ribosomal RNA, 304 nt
Filed under: beta proteobacterium SCGC AAA278-L09
Lineage: Bacteria; Pseudomonadati; Pseudomonadota; Betaproteobacteria
Description: bacterial SSU rRNA
Rfam family: Bacterial small subunit ribosomal RNA
Source: RNAcentral
UGACGGUACCCGCAGAAUAAGCACCGGCUAACUCCGUGCCAGCAGCCGCGGUAAUACGGAGGGUGCAAGCGUUAAUCGGAAUUACUGGGCGUAAAGCGUGCGCAGGCGGUUNGNUAAGUCAGAUGUGAAAUCCCCGGGCUCAACCUGGGAACUGCAUUUGAAACUGCCNGGCUAGAGUGUGGUAGAGGGGGGGUGGAAUUCCGGGUGUAGCNGUGAAAUGCGUAGAUAUCCGGAGGAACACCGAUGGCGAAGGCAGCCCCCUGGACCAACACUGACGCUCAGGCGCGAAAGCGUGGGGAGCAAA